Molecule: ribosomal RNA, 435 nt
Filed under: uncultured bacterium
Lineage: Bacteria
Description: bacterial LSU rRNA
Rfam family: Bacterial large subunit ribosomal RNA
Source: RNAcentral
GCAUUCGGUGGAUGCCUUGGCACCAGGAGGCGAUGAAGGACGUGGCACGCUGCGAAAAGCCACGGGGAGCCGCGAGCAGGCGUUGAUCCGUGGAUGUCCGAAUGGGGCAACCCACCCCUUUGGGGUAUCUGCAACUGAAUCCAUAGGUUGUAGAGGCGAACCCGGGGAACUGAAACAUCUCAGUACCCGGAGGAAAAGACAUCAACAGAGAUUCCGCUAGUAGUGGCGAGCGAACGCGGAACAGGCCAGUGGUCAGUUGGGGAUAAGCAGAACGGUCUGGAAAGUCCGGCCAUAGCGGGUGAUAGCCCCGUAUGCGUAAAUACCAACUGAUCCUUGAGUAAGGCGGGACACGUGUAAUCCUGUCUGAACAUGGGGGGACCACCUCCAAGCCUAAAAUACUCCCUGGUGACCGAUAGCGAACAAGUACCGUGAGGG